UACGGAGGGAGCUCGCAUUGUUCGGAAUUACUGGGCGUAAAGCGCGCGUAGGCGGCCUUGUAAGUUAGAGGUGAAAGCCCGGGGCUCAGCCCCGGAACUGCCUUUAAGACUGCAUCGCUUGAAUCCGGGAGAGGUGAGUGGAAUUCCGAGUGUAGAGGUGAAAUUCGUAGAUAUUCGGAAGAACACCAGUGGCGAAGGCGGCUCACUGGACCGGUAUUGACGCUGAGGUGCGAAAGCGUGGGGAGCAAAAAGG
This 253-nucleotide ribosomal RNA is filed under the name uncultured bacterium. RNAcentral describes it as "partial 16S ribosomal RNA". It matches the Rfam family "Bacterial small subunit ribosomal RNA", at positions 524 to 776 of the family's 1533-position model. The record is from RNAcentral.